This 262-nucleotide ribosomal RNA is filed under the name uncultured Burkholderiales bacterium. Its description in RNAcentral is "partial 16S ribosomal RNA". It matches the Rfam family "Bacterial small subunit ribosomal RNA", at positions 524 to 785 of the family's 1533-position model. Lineage: Bacteria; Pseudomonadati; Pseudomonadota; Betaproteobacteria; Burkholderiales. The record is from RNAcentral.
UACGUAGGGUGCAAGCGUUAAUCGGAAUUACUGGGCGUAAAGCGUGCGCAGGCGGUUAUGCAAGACAGAGGUGAAAUCCCCGGGCUCAACCUGGGAACUGCCUUUGUGACUGCAUGGCUAGAGUACGGUAGAGGGGGAUGGAAUUCCGCGUGUAGCAGUGAAAUGCGUAGAUAUGCGGAGGAACACCGAUGGCGAAGGCAAUCCCCUGGACCUGUACUGACGCUCAUGCACGGAAGCGUGGGGAGCAAACAGGAUUAGAUAC